Daucus carota subsp. sativus is the source of this 1366-nucleotide long non-coding RNA. RefSeq lists it as uncharacterized. The transcript is spliced from 4 exons. Lineage: Eukaryota; Viridiplantae; Streptophyta; Magnoliopsida; Apiales; Apiaceae. The record is from RefSeq and is a predicted model, not a curated record.
UCCUCUCCUCAUCUUAAUUUGUAGCUUUCACACUCUUCUUUUAUUAUUAUUUUAUUAGAACAAAACCCAUCUUUAUUUUUUUUAUGAAUUAAUCAUCUGAUCUAACACCCAUUUAGCAUUUUUAGUAUGUUUGAUAUGUAAUGAUUGUUAUUGUGUUGUUGCUUGCACUGCCGUUAAAAGAGAGGAUUAUCAUGUUUACUGAAGGCCUUGAUUAGUCUGCUCUUUGUGGGGUUAAAGAGGUAUGUAUGUUAUGUCUACUUGACCUAUUACUUAUGUUUGUAUGUAUAUGUGUGUGUAACUGUGCAAGUAUAUGCUGGGAUUUGUGUAUGUAUGUUGUGGUCUUGUGGAUGAUGGGUUUGUGAAAUUUGGUCUAAUUUUAUGUUUUUUGGAUUUUUUUGAUGGGUUUUUGUGAAAAUUUUGAUAUUUGAAUUAGAAAUAGAUUUUGGAAUUUGGUGGAAUUUUAUGAUGUGGAUGUAUAAUUGUGUGAUGAUGUAUGUGAAUUUGUCAAGUAGUGUGUUUUUCCCCCCUUGAAUUUGAAUGUAGGUUCUGUGAAUAAUUCAAUUAUAAGAAAGGAGUGUCAUUGUCUAGUCAAAGAACUAGAGUAGAUCAUGUUUCUACUGUCAGGACUGGUAGUACAGGUAUUCCGAGAACUAUUCCGCGUCAAUAUGAUGAUAGUAGGUCAGGAUCGGAAAAUGAUAUGAGUACGGAUUUGGAGGGAGGUUUUCCUUAGAUUUGUCACCGCAGGAUGAUAGAGUGACUGCCAAGGCAGCAGCUAGAAGGUUUUCUAAUCCUGUGGAGAGAAGGGUUCAGUAUGGUAGUGAGAUGUUGGUUCGUCGAGAGAAACGGUUGGAAGAGGGCUUGGAGCGGUAAUAGACAGACUGAUGAAGGGUGCAAAUAGGUACCCGAUUGGAUGCAAUGGCCUAUAAGGAGGAGGAAUCAUCGGAUUCUGCUGCCAGAUCGGAGUACUCGUUCACUCAAGUGCGAAGGAGUGAUAUAGGGUUGCCUGGUAACAAGGCAUAUCUUUCCGAGGGAUAUGCUUCUAGCACGCCUUCAUGGAUAACAAGCAAUCUGCUUCCAACUAGAAUCAGAAGCUUUCUGAUGAUGAUAAUCCAAGCGCAUCUCCAUUUUCUGAUGCUGGCGGGAGAUCUAGCAAGAAGAACAAAACCCGGCCUCUACUGGAAUGCCUUUUGCAGCAGCAAAUGGUUUUGAUAGAAAACUUACAACUGCUAGUGAUCAGAAUAACAUCCGAAAGGAGAUACCUAAAACAUCUCUGAGGGCUGCAGCAAGCGCAGAAAAUGGGGUGCCUUCAAGCUCAUUCCAUGCUCGCCUUCCCACAUUUCAUGCAAGUACUUGAUGGCACAAUGCA